GACAUCUUGGUGAAAACAUUUAAUGCUCAAAUGUGUUUGAAAAGUUCUUUGGGUUGAUCGAAUGGGUUUAUGAAGCCUUGUCACAGUCUGGUUUUCAACCUGCCUGCUACUAACCUUCUCUCACCUCUAAGAUGCGCUAGAGCUGGAGAUCGGAGAGUGUGACAGGUGCAUAUUGUUGCCUCAUCAGCUGGAGGACUAUAUGAGGGUGGCUCGCUGGCACUUCUACGCCUGAGUGUUUUGCCUGCUGCGGGCGUUCAUGCCGAGCCGCCGAGUUGGGAAUUCCUCUCUAGAAGACCCUUCUGUUGAAUCUGGACUCUGGGUUGUUUCUGGUCUGGCAGAUGCCCUUGGGAGCCCUCCAGGCUGUUUAAGCACCACCUGUCCACCCACCUUUGGCUUACCUGGACCAUUGGAACGCUCCAGCCAGCACAGGAACACGUUCCAGACUCGCACCUGUCUCUCCCCCGGCGGAUGGAUCUCCACCGGGACACCUGACGACCAGCCUGCUUCGCUCUUCACAUCCCUUUUUCUGAAUCGAGUAAUAAAACUUUGAGUUUACGCUUCUCUGUCUGAGUGUUCUCUGCAUGUGGGUCAAGUCAGCCUUAAAAACAAUGACAAAACACUCAGGCCUGCCGGACCCAGCAGAAGCACUCCAGAGAACUGUGUCUGAACACGGCCAUCUAAUCUAGGCACAUGGUUCGACCCUCCGCUCCCUCCUCGA
Girardinichthys multiradiatus is the source of this 718-nucleotide long non-coding RNA. RefSeq lists it as uncharacterized. The transcript is spliced from 3 exons. Lineage: Eukaryota; Metazoa; Chordata; Actinopteri; Cyprinodontiformes; Goodeidae. The record is from RefSeq and is a predicted model, not a curated record.